UACGUAGGGUGCGAGCGUUGUCCGGAAUUAUUGGGCGUAAAGGGCUCGUAGGCGGUUUGUCGCGUCGGGAGUGAAAUCCACUGGCUUAACUGGUGGCUAGCUUUCGAUACGGGCAGACUGGAGGUAUGCAGGGGAGAACGGAAUUCCUGGUGUAGCGGUGAAAUGCGCAGAUAUCAGGAGGAACACCGGUGGCGAAGGCGGCGACCUGGUCCUAUACUGACACUCAUACACGAAAGCGUGGGGAUCAAACAGG
RNAcentral lists this ribosomal RNA (253 nucleotides) under uncultured bacterium. RNAcentral's name for it is "partial 16S ribosomal RNA". It matches the Rfam family "Bacterial small subunit ribosomal RNA", at positions 524 to 776 of the family's 1533-position model. The record is from RNAcentral.